GCGGGUGUGGCGGAAUUGGCAGACGCGCUAGAUUCAGGAUCUAGUGGGCAACCCCCGUGGAGGUUCGACUCCUCUCACCCGCACCA
RNAcentral lists this transfer RNA (86 nucleotides) under Hydrogenibacillus schlegelii. RNAcentral's name for it is "tRNA-Leu(cag)". It matches the Rfam family "tRNA". From Rfam's summary of the family: Transfer RNA (tRNA) molecules are approximately 80 nucleotides in length. RNAcentral also lists the same sequence under 1 other name. The record is from RNAcentral. Lineage: Bacteria; Bacillati; Bacillota; Bacilli; Thermicanales; Thermicanaceae.